RNAcentral lists this long non-coding RNA (998 nucleotides) under Penaeus chinensis. Its description in RNAcentral is "uncharacterized LOC125029176, transcript variant X1". The record is from RNAcentral. Lineage: Eukaryota; Metazoa; Arthropoda; Malacostraca; Decapoda; Penaeidae.
UAUAUUUACAUAUUACGAUGGUCUAAUUAACCAUCGAGUUCUCAAGAAAAUGAAAUUUCUAGAUGCCAGGUCUUGGCCCAGAGAACCCUAAUCUACACAAUACAUCAUCUAUGACAUGCUCUUACAAUUCCAAUAAGACAAACGCAGUUGCAUUCCAAGUUAGGAAGAACUUGUGUUCUCAUGCAUAACCCAGCACUAGAAGGUGACAAAAGACAAUUGGCCUCGUUUAAGGAAGGUGUGUGAUGGUCCCGUUUCAACACUUCUAGAGGACCAAUACCAUGUGGUGGCUUUAUGGUGCUUAACAGAAGUAAGUGUUUGAUGUGUUAACACCCGGUAUUAUUAGUACUCCUGUUGACAAAGACCUCUGACAUUAACUGUUGCCUUGACCCAAGAGUGAUAAGGCUCACUCACCAUCGUCAGACUCCCGGUCCUCAUCCAAUUUCUUACUUUGUUUACACGCCACACACGUGCAGGUCUCUCUCUCUCUCUGAAUGUUGAGUGGCAGGACGUGACCAAGGAGCCACCUCCACAAGAUUACUCUUAGUGUUGCAACCCGUCUUCCUGCUACAUUCAUCAUUUCAGAAUUUAAGGCGAUGUCUUGGCCGGUGAUCUGUGUGGGUGAGAAAGACACCCAGUCCCCCCACGCCCACACUGCCUCCCCACCAUCGUCCACAGGGUCGGGCUGCUCAUCACCAUCACAUUCAUAGCACCAGUGAUAGGAAAGCAAAGAUGUAUAUACAGAAGAAACAGAAGCUUUACAAGGGUGGCUGCAGGAUGUGUGGACAGCGAAAAUCACACCAAGAAGAACCAAAGAAGACACACCCGCCACUUCUAUACAAAGGUCGCGAAGUGGCCCAGGAAUCUCCAGCUAAAAAUACGCGCCAUACCGGAGCAGUGCGGCCCAGCGUGCACCCCGCCAACUGCAACCAACAUUUCGCAGUGAGUUAGAGUGAGUGAAUGUGAGUGUGAGUGUGAGUGUGAGUGUGAGUGUGAGUGUG